GAUGAACGCUGGCGGCGUGCCUAAUACAUGCAAGUCGAGCGAACAGACGAGGAGCUUGCUCCUCUGACGUUAGCGGCGGACGGGGGAGUAAUACGUGGAUAACCUACCUAUAAGACUGGGAUAACUUCGGGAAACCGGAGCUAAUACCGGGUAAUAUAUUGAACCGCAUGGUUCAAUAGUGAAAGACGGAUUUGCUGUCACUUAUAGAUGGAUCCGCGCCGGAUUAGCUUGUUGGUAAGGUAACGGCUUACCAAGGCAACGAUGCGUAGCCGACCUGAGAGGGUGAUCGGCCACCACAGAGCUGAGGCGCGGUCCAGACUCCUACGGGAGGCGGCAGUAGGGAAUCUUCCGGAAUGGGCGAAGGCCUGACGGAGCAACGCCGCGGGAGUGAUGAAGGUCUUCGGAUCGUAAAACUCUGUUAUUAGGGAAGAACAAAUGUGUAAGUAACUAUGCACGUCUUGACGGUACCUAAUCAGAAAGCCACGGCUAACUACGUG
This 497-nucleotide ribosomal RNA is filed under the name uncultured bacterium. RNAcentral's name for it is "partial 16S ribosomal RNA". It matches the Rfam family "Bacterial small subunit ribosomal RNA", at positions 28 to 507 of the family's 1533-position model. The record is from RNAcentral.